AGUGAACGCUGGCGGUAGGCCUAACACAUGCAAGUCGAACGGCAGCACAGUAAGAGCUUGCUCUUAUGGGUGGCGAGUGGCGGACGGGUGAGGAAUACAUCGGAAUCUACUUUUUCGUGGGGGAUAACGUAGGGAAACUUACGCUAAUACCGCAUACGACCUACGGGUGAAAGCAGGGGAUCUUCGGACCUUGCGCGAUUGAAUGAGCCGAUGUCGGAUUAGCUAGUUGGCGGGGUAAAGGCCCACCAAGGCGACGAUCCGUAGCUGGUCUGAGAGGAUGAUCAGCCACACUGGAACUGAGACACGGUCCAGACUCCUACGGGAGGCAGCAGUGGGGAAUAUUGGACAAUGGGCGCAAGCCUGAUCCAGCCAUACCGCGUGGGUGAAGAAGGCCUUCGGGUUGUAAAGCCCUUUUGUUGGGAAAGAAAAGCAGCAGGUUAAUACCCCGCUGUUCUGACGGUACCCAAAGAAUAAACACCGGCUAACUUCGU
RNAcentral lists this ribosomal RNA (491 nucleotides) under uncultured bacterium. RNAcentral's name for it is "partial 16S ribosomal RNA". It matches the Rfam family "Bacterial small subunit ribosomal RNA", at positions 29 to 506 of the family's 1533-position model. The record is from RNAcentral.